Long non-coding RNA from Mytilus trossulus (common blue mussel), 283 nucleotides. RefSeq lists it as uncharacterized. The transcript has 3 exons. Lineage: Eukaryota; Metazoa; Mollusca; Bivalvia; Mytilida; Mytilidae. The record is from RefSeq and is a predicted model, not a curated record.
AUUUGCACGGUGUACUUCCUCAUUAAUGCAGUUAGUUCUUUGUAUCACUAAUUAACAUGAAGAUUACUAGUUGUACAUAUUUGUUGUCAAGAAUUUUGUUACUUGCCGUUAUAUCAGAGUUGGGCGCUGUAGAUGACCCGUGUUCACUGAAAGGCACUAAGUAUGAUGAUAAUAUAGUGGCAGACAUGUGUACAGGCGACUUCGCAGUUGAAGACAGUGAAGACGGAAGGAACUUGAAAGACAGUGUAAUUGUACGUGUGGUAAAACAGAAAGCUAACUGUAC